Molecule: long non-coding RNA, 119 nt
Organism: Protopterus annectens (West African lungfish)
Lineage: Eukaryota; Metazoa; Chordata; Ceratodontiformes; Protopteridae
Exons: 3
Source: RefSeq, a predicted model, not a curated record
UGUAUGUCGAGGGAUUCCAGUAAAUCGAGGUAGGCGGUGUGCUUAUCCUGGUUUAUGGUGGGGGAUCUAUAGCUAGCAAUGAUGUGGUAUGGUACUUUCCCAAUAGUUAAUUGGACAUG